RNAcentral lists this transfer-messenger RNA (392 nucleotides) under Hyphomicrobium sp. It matches the Rfam family "Alphaproteobacteria transfer-messenger RNA". Rfam says of the family: Bacterial tmRNA, also known as 10Sa RNA or SsrA, is named for its dual tRNA and mRNA-like properties. Lineage: Bacteria; Pseudomonadati; Pseudomonadota; Alphaproteobacteria; Hyphomicrobiales; Hyphomicrobiaceae. The record is from RNAcentral.
CGCCUUUCCAUCGUCGAUCGCACCGCCUAUAUACAUGGGGCCGGAUUCGUCCGGCUAUGGCGAUAAACGCGGUCGUAAUAAGCCAUUCGGACCCGGGGGCAGUACCCGGCGCCUCCACCAAUUUGGUGGGCCUUGCGACUCCCCUGCCGGGGAGCCGGCCGCAAGACCCGCAUAUACGGGGGCGAACUAGGAUCGACGAGGGUGUAAAGGGCUCAGCUUUCGCUCGGCAUGAUACCACCGUUAUCGGGUCAUUCAGAAUAGUUGCCAAUGACAACUAUGCUGAGGCUGCAGUCGCUGCGUAAUGCGGUGCCUAAAGCCUAAACUCUGAAGCCCUUGCCCCUAGCCGGGUAAGGCGCGGUCCGGAGGGCACCGGGCAACAGAAGCCCUCCACU